RNAcentral lists this non-coding RNA (24 nucleotides) under Gossypium hirsutum (cotton). The record is from RNAcentral. Lineage: Eukaryota; Viridiplantae; Streptophyta; Magnoliopsida; Malvales; Malvaceae.
AUAGUCAGAUCUAAAUUAUGGUGU